RNAcentral lists this long non-coding RNA (4254 nucleotides) under Triticum aestivum (bread wheat). Its description in RNAcentral is "long non-coding RNA (TAES_LNC017323)". The record is from RNAcentral. Lineage: Eukaryota; Viridiplantae; Streptophyta; Magnoliopsida; Poales; Poaceae.
ACAAUGGCUUUGCCAAAGACACUUUCCUGGUGGCACACCGUGGCUACAUGUUUCCCUCGGCCCUCACCAUCUUUCAUUCACGUAUUCAACUUAAGUAGGCAUUACAAGAGUAUCUCCACUACCAACUAAUCCUAAACUCACGCCACGCCCACCAUGCACAACUAGUCUAGUAACUAACUAAUGCAUGGGCUAACUCUACGGCCAUUUCUCACGGCCACUAACCAACUCCACGACUUGACCAAUCUUGCAUGCACUAACAAACUGGAGUCUAACUCAAACUACGUACACAACGAACACCUACAGACUCGGCACGGCCACGAACCGAUGCCCAGUUCCACCAGCACGCACGCUCGUCACGGCGCUGCGUCCCGCACGUCCCGCACGCACCCGACGCACCCGACCGCACCAGUGCGUCCCGCACGUCCCCCGCGCACCUGACGUGCCCGACGAGCCCGACUGCACCAGACGCCGUGGCUUAUUCCAACACACACCCCCUAAGCCACGGCCUCGCCGUCGCCGACGUAGCUCAUGUCGAUGUCGUCGCCACGACCGUGACCCAGCCCAUGGACCCGACGUGGCGCACCGACGCCGGUCGCACCGCCACGGACCCGACCUGGCGCACUGACGCCGGUCGCACCGUGCUCCGUCACGUCUCCGGCGACAUACGCCGAGCUCCUUCUCCACCGGCGACACACGCCUGGCGUUCCGGUGACAUACGCCGUCGACGCCCUCACGCUCAGACGCGAGCCUUCUUGGACGCCGCUUCAUGGCGUCGCACCGCACCGCUACGGCCUCCGCCGACGCGCCGCAUCUCCAUGUGACGCGCCACUGCGCAUCCAUGGUCGUCGCGCCGAGCCGCCGCGGCCUCUGCGCCACCACACAGGUCCUGCACGACCUCCUCGCCUCCGCGUCCGCCAUUGCUCGUCGUGCGCACGGCAUCACACUGCAUCACCGCGGACUCGCCGAGCACCGCAGCCGAUGCCUCCAUGUCCGCCGCACUCGCCGCGGACUCACCGUGCGCCACCUCCGCGUCCGCCAUGACAGCCGCAGCGCCGCGCACCUCCAUAGGCCGACACACCGACCGGAGCUUCACGCAGCCGCCGGCGAACGCCGUCACCACCGGCACGGCGAACCCCGCCCAAGACAACCAAGCUCUGAUACCAAUUGUUGGUGCCGCCUCCUCGCCGCAGCGCCCUUCUUCUUUUUCCUCAUAACUCUCUCUUAUCUCUUUCAUGGUUUGUCUCACACAACACAUGAACGCACACAUACCAGAGGAACACACACGUACACACUUCACCAAGGAAGAAGGAUCACAAUGGCUUUGCCAAAGACACUUUCCUGGUGGCACACCGUGGCUACAUGUUUCCCUCGGCCCUCACCAUCUUUCAUUCACGUACUCAACUUAAGUAGGCAUUACAAGAGUAUCUCCACUACCAACUAAUCCUAAACUCACGCCACGCCCACCAUGCACAACUAGUCUAGUAACUAACUAAUGCAUGGGCUAACUCUACGGCCAUUUAUCACGGCCACUAACGAACUCCACGACUUGACCAAUCUUGCAUGCACUAACAAACUGGUGUCUAACUCAAACUACGUACACAACGCACACCUACAGACGUGCCGUGCCUAGUUCGACCAGCACGCACACCCGUCACGGCGCUGCGUCCUGCACGUCCCGCACGCACCCGACGCACCCGACCGCACCAGUGCGUCCCGCACGUCCCGCGCGCACCUGACGCGUCCGACGAGCCCGACUCCACCAAACGCCGUGGCUUAUUCCAACACACACCCCCUAAGCCACGGCCUCGCCGUCGCCGAAGUAGCUCAUGUCGUUGUCGUCGCCACGACCGUGACCCAGCCCAUGGACCCGAUGUGGCGCACCGACGCCGGUCGCAUCGCCACGGACCCGACCUGGCGCACUGAUGCCGGUCGCACCGUGCUCCGUCACGUCUCUGGAGACAUACGCUGAGCAACUUCUCCACCGGCGACACACGCCUGGCGUUCCGGUGACAUACGCCGUCGAUGCCCUCACGCUCAGACAUGAGCCUUCUCGGACGCCGCUUCAUGGCGUCACACCGCACCGCUACGGCCUCCGCCGACGCGCCGCAUCUCCAUGCGACGCGCCACUGCGCCUCCACGGUCGUCGCGCCGAGCCGCCGCGGCCUCUGCGCCACCACGCAGGUCCUCCACGACCUCCUCGCCUCCGCGUCCGCCAUUGCUCGUCGUGCGCACGGCAUCACCGCGGACUCGCCGAGCACCGCCGCCGAUGCCUCCAUGUCCGCCGCACUCGCCGCGGACUCACCGUGCGCCACCUCCGCGUCCGCCAUGACAGCCGCAGCGCCGCGCACCUCCAUAGGCCGACACACGGACUGGAGCAUCACGCAGCCGCCGGCGAACGCCGUCACCACCGGCACGCCUCCCGCACGGCGAACCCCGCCCAAGACAACCAAGCUCUGAUACCAAUUGUUCGCGCCGCCUCCUCGCCGCAGCGCCCUUCUUCUUCUUCCUCAUAACUCUCUCUUAUCUCUUUCAUGGUUUGUCUCACACAACACAUGAACGCACACAUACCAGAGGAGAACACACGUACACACUUCACCAAGGAAGAAGGAUCACAAUGGCUUUGCCAAAGACACUUUCCUGGUGGCACACCGUGGCUACAUGUUUCCCUCGGCCCUCAUCAUCUUUCAUUCACGUACUCAACUUAAGUAGGCAUUACAAGAGUAUCUCCACUACCAACUAAUCCUAAACUCACGCCACGCCCACCAUGCACAACUAGUCUAGUAACUAACUAAUGCAUGGGCUAACUCUACGGCCAUUUCUCACGGCCACUAACCAACUCCACGACUUGACCAAUCUUGCAUGCACUAACGAACUGGAGUCUAACUCAAACUACGUACACAACGCACACCUACAGACUGGCCGUGCCCAGUUCCACCAGCACGCACACUCGUCACGGCGCUGCGUCCUGCACGUCCCGCACGCACCUGACCGCACUAGUGCGUCCCGCACGUCCCGCGCGCCCUGACGUGCCCGACGAGCCCGACUGCACCAGACGCCGUGGCUUAUUCCAACACACACCCCCUAAGCCACGGCCUCGCCGUCGCCGAAGUAGCUCAUGUCGAUGUCGUCGCCACGACCGUGACCCAGCCCAUGGACCCGAUGUGGCGCACCGACGCCGGUCGCACCGCCACGGACCCGACCUGGCGCACUGACGCCGGUCGCACCGUGCUCCGUCACGUCUCCGGCGACAUACACUGAGCUCCUUCUCCACCGGCGACACACGCCUGGCGUUCCGGUGACAUACGCCGUCGAUGCCCUCACGCUCAGACGCGAGCCUUCUCGGACGCCGCUUCAUGGCGUCGCACCGCUCCGCUACGGCCUCCGCCGACGCGCCGCAUCUCCAUGCGACGCGCCACUGCGCCUCCACGGUCGUCGCGCCGAGCCGCCGCGGCCUCUGCGCCACCACGCAGGUCCUCCACGACCUCCUCGCCUCCGCGUCCGCCAUUGCUCGUCGUGCGCACGGCAUCACACUGCAUCACCGCGGACUCGCCGAGCACCGCAGCCGAUGCCUCCAUGUCCGCCGCACUCGCCGCGGACUCACCGUGCGCCACCUUCGCGUCCGCCAUGACAGCCGCAGCGCCGCACACCUCCAUAGGCCGACACACAGACAGGAGCUUCACGCAGCCGCCGGCGAACGCCGUCACCACCGGCACGCCUCCCGCACGGCGAACCCCGCCCAAGACAACCAAGCUCUGAUACCAAUUGUUGGCGCCGCCUCCUCGCCGCAGCGCCCUUCUUCUUCUUCCUCAUAACUCUCUCUUAUCUCUUUCAUGGUUUGUCUCACACAACACAUGAACGCACACAUACCAGAGGAACACACACGUACACACUUCACCAAGGAAGAAGGAUCACAAUGGCUUUGCCAAAGACACUUCCCUGGUGGCACACCGUGGCUACAUGUUUCCCUCGGCCCUCACCAUCUUUCAUUCACGUACUCAACUUAAGUAGGCAUUACAAGAGUAUCUCCACUACCAACUAAUCCUAAACUCACGCCACGCCCACCAUGCACAACUAGUCUAGUAACUAACUAAUGCAUGGGCUAACUCUACGGCCAUUUCUCACGGCCACUAAUCAACUCCACGACUUGACCAAUCUUGCAUGCACUAACAAACUGGAGUCUAACUAAAACUACGUACACAACGCACACCUACAGACUCGGCACGGCCACGAACCGAUGCCCAGUUCCACCAGCAC